RNAcentral lists this long non-coding RNA (1330 nucleotides) under Apteryx haastii (Great spotted kiwi). RNAcentral describes it as "lncRNA (ENSAHAG00000016630.1)". Lineage: Eukaryota; Metazoa; Chordata; Aves; Apterygiformes; Apterygidae. The record is from RNAcentral.
CGCCGAUGCACUGGGUACCACCGAUGCACUGGGCAUCACCGUGCUGGAAAUCACCGUGCCUGGCACCACCGAUGCACCGGGUACCGCCAAGGCACCACGUACCACCGAUGCACUGGGUACUGCCGAUGCACCAGGUACCACCGAUGCACCAGGUACCACCGUGCUGGAAAUCACCGUGCCUGGCACCACCGAUGCACCAGGUACCACCGAUGCACCAGGUACCACCGUGCUGGAAAUCCCUGUGCCAGGUACCACCGAUGCACUGGGCAUCACCGUGCUGGAAAUCACCGUGCCUGGCACCACCAAUGUGCCGGGUACCACCGAUGCACCAGGUACCACCGAUGCACUGGGCACUACCGUGCUGGAAAUCCCUGUGCCAGGCACCACCGAUGCACCGGGUACCGCCGACGCACCGGGCAUCGCUGAUGCACCGGGUACCGCCGAUGCGCUGGGCACCGCCGUGCCGGGAACUGCCAACGCACCACCGUUGCACCGGGCAACUCCGUGCCCAGCAUCAGCGUGCUGGAUAUCACCGUCCCGGGCACUAGGGGUGUUGGGUGUCACCGUGCCGGGCUGGGGCACCGCUGUGGUGACGGGCACCGGCGCGCCGCGACGCUGAACCGGGCAGGGACACCACCGUGCUGGGUACCACCGAUGCACCGGGCAUCGCCGUGCCGGGCCGUGGCACCGCGGGUGCAGCAGGCAUCACCGUACUGGAAAUCACCGUGCCAGGCAGUGGCACCAUCACCAGCAAACUGGACACCAGCACCACGCCAGGCACCAGCACCGCUCCGGGCACCGCCGUGCCGUGUGCACCACCGUGCUGUGCACCACCGUGUGUGCACCACCGUGCCAUGUGCACCACCGUGCACUGUGCAGCACCGUGCACCACCGUGCCAUGUGCACCUCCGUGCCUUGCACCACCGUGCCAUGUGCACCACCGUGCUGUGCACCACCGUGUGUGCACCACCGUGCCAUGUGCACCACCGUGCUGUGCACUGCCGUGUGUGCACCUCUGUGCCUUGCACCACCAUGCACUGUGCAGCGCCGUGCACCACCGUGCCUUGCACCACCGUGCCAUAUGCACCACCAUGCCGUGCACCACCGUGCCAUGUGCACCACUGUGCACUGUGCAGCGCCGUGCACCACCGUGCUGUGCACCACCUUGUGCGCACCUCCGUGCCUUGCACCACCAUGCACUGUGCAGCGCCGUGCACCGCCGUGCCGUGUGCACCUCCGUGACUUGCACCGCUGUGCCAUGUGCACCACCGUGCACUGUGCAGUGCCGUGCACCGUGCCAUGUGCACGUCCGUGCACCACUGUGCCAUGU